AGUGAACGCUGGCGGUAGGCCUAACACAUGCAAGUCGAACGGCAGCACAGUAAGAGCUUGCUCUUACGGGUGGCGAGUGGCGGACGGGUGAGGAAUACAUCGGAAUCUACUUUUUCGUGGGGGAUAGCGUAGGGAAACUUACGCUAAUACCGCAUACGACCUACGGGUGAAAGCAGGGGAUCUUCGGACCUUGCGCGAUUGAAUGAGCCGAUGUCGGAUUAGCUAGUUGGCGGGGUAAAGGCCCACCAAGGCGACGAUCCGUAGCUGGUCUGAGAGGAUGAUCAGCCACACUGGAACUGAGAUACGGUCCAGACUCCUACGGGAGGCAGCAGUGGGGAAUAUUGGACAAUGGGCGCAAGCCUGAUCCAGCCAUACCGCGUGGGUGAAGAAGGCCUUCGGGUUGUAAAGCCCUUUUGUUGGGAAAGAAAAGCAGCAGGUUAAUACCCCGCUGUUCUGACGGUACCCAAAGAAUAAGCACCGGCUAACUUCGUG
Molecule: ribosomal RNA, 492 nt
Filed under: uncultured bacterium
Lineage: Bacteria
Description: partial 16S ribosomal RNA
Rfam family: Bacterial small subunit ribosomal RNA
Source: RNAcentral